Ameiurus melas (black bullhead) is the source of this 73-nucleotide non-coding RNA. The record is from the annotation of a GenBank genome assembly. NCBI's taxonomy places the organism in Eukaryota, Metazoa, Chordata, Actinopteri, Siluriformes, Ictaluridae.
GGCAAGGUGGCUUAGUGGUUAGCACGUUUGGCUCAUGCCUCUGGGAUUGGGGGUUAAAAUCCUCUCUCUGUCC